GGUGGUAAUGCCGGAUGUUCCACAUGAUCGCAUGUGAUUGUGGGAAAGAUUCUAUCGGCGUGGGAUGGGGUCGCGUCCUAUCAGCUUGUUGGUGAGGUAACGGCUCACCAAGGCUUCGACGGGUAGCCGGCCUGAGAGGGCGACCGGCCACAUUGGGACUGAGAUACGGCCCAGACUCCUACGGGAGGCAGCAGUGGGGAAUAUUGCACAAUGGGCGCAAGCCUGAUGCAGCGACGCCGCGUGAGGGAUGGAGGCCUUCGGGUUGUAAACCUCUUUUGUUUGGGAGCAAGCCUUCGGGUGAGUGUACCUUUCGAAUAAGCGCCGGCUAACUACGUGCCAGCAGCCGCGGUAAUACGUAGGGCGCAAGCGUUAUCCGGAUUUAUUGGGCGUAAAGGGCUCGUAGGCGGCUCGUCGCGUCCGGUGUGAAAGUCCAUCGCUUAACGGUGGAUCUGCGCCGGGUACGGGCGGGCUGGAGUGCGGUAGGGGAGACUGGAAUUCCCGGUGUAACGGUGGAAUGUGUAGAUAUCGGGA
Molecule: ribosomal RNA, 531 nt
Filed under: Bifidobacterium bifidum
Lineage: Bacteria; Bacillati; Actinomycetota; Actinomycetes; Bifidobacteriales; Bifidobacteriaceae
Description: bacterial SSU rRNA
Rfam family: Bacterial small subunit ribosomal RNA
Source: RNAcentral